RNAcentral lists this ribosomal RNA (253 nucleotides) under uncultured bacterium. RNAcentral's name for it is "partial 16S ribosomal RNA". It matches the Rfam family "Bacterial small subunit ribosomal RNA", at positions 524 to 776 of the family's 1533-position model. The record is from RNAcentral.
UACGAAGGGGGCUAGCGUUGUUCGGAAUUAUUGGGCGUAAAGGGCGUGUAGGUGGCUUACCAAGUCUGGUGUGAAAUCCCACGGCUCAACCGUGGAACUGCAUUGGAAACUGGUGAGCUCGAGUAUUGGAGGGGGUCGCGGAAUUCCCGGUGUAGAGGUGAAAUUCGUAGAUAUCGGGAGGAACACCAGUGGCGAAGGCGGCGACCUGGCCAUUUACUGACACUGAGACGCGAAAGCGUGGGGAGCAAACAGG